GAUGAACGCUGGCGGCGUGCCUAAUACAUGCAAGUCGAGCGAACAGACGAUGUGCUUUCUCCAUUUACAUUAGCGGCGGCCGGGUGCGUGGCAGGUGGAAAAACCACCUAUAAUAAUGGGAUCAGUUCGGGAAACCGGAGCUAAUACCCAAUAACAUGUUGAUGCGGAUGGAUCAACAGUAAAAGGUGGCUUUGAUGUCCUCUAUGGAUGUACCCGCGUCGCAUGAGCCAGUUGGUAAGGUAACGGCGUACCAAGGCGACGAUGCGUACACGACCUGAGAGGGUGAUCGGCGACACUGGAACUGGGACACGGUCCUGACGCCUACGGUAGGCGGCAGUAGGGAAGCUGCCGCAAUGGGGGAAAGCCUGACGGAACAACGCCGCGUGAGUAAUGAAGGCCGUCGGAUCGUAAAACUCUGUUACUAGGGAAGAACAAAUAUGUAGAUAAAAAUGACCAUCGUGACGGUACCUAAUCAGAAAGCCACGGCUAACUACGUG
This 497-nucleotide ribosomal RNA is filed under the name uncultured bacterium. RNAcentral's name for it is "partial 16S ribosomal RNA". It matches the Rfam family "Bacterial small subunit ribosomal RNA", at positions 28 to 507 of the family's 1533-position model. The record is from RNAcentral.